Molecule: ribosomal RNA, 301 nt
Filed under: uncultured bacterium
Lineage: Bacteria
Description: partial 16S ribosomal RNA
Rfam family: Bacterial small subunit ribosomal RNA
Source: RNAcentral
CAGUCGCCGCGGGAAUACGUAGGGUGCGAGCGUUAAUCGGAAUUACUGGGCGUAAAGCGUGCGCAGGCGGUUGUGUAAGACAGGUGUGAAAUCCCCGGGCUUAACCUGGGAACUGCGCUUGUGACUGCACAGCUAGAGUAUGGCAGAGGGGGGUGGAAUUCCACGUGUAGCAGUGAAGUGCGUAGAGAUGUGGAGGAACACCGAUGGCGAAGGCAGCCCCCUGGGCCAAUACUGACGCUCAUGCACGAAAGCGUGGGGAGCAAACAGGAUUAGAUACCCCGGUAGUCCCUGUCUCUUAUAA